This is a long non-coding RNA of Sus scrofa (pig), 728 nucleotides long. RefSeq lists it as uncharacterized. NCBI's taxonomy places the organism in Eukaryota, Metazoa, Chordata, Mammalia, Artiodactyla, Suidae. The record is from RefSeq and is a predicted model, not a curated record.
CAGGGACAGCAGUGGGCGAAAAACAAGACGGAAGGACAGUGUCAGCAAAGGUCAGGGUGUCAGGCAACAGUCACAAUAACAGCUGCCAGGGCUCAGAGGACUACAGAGCACGAGGAGGAUGGCCGCUGUAUUGGCUUCGGACACAUUCCUGAGGCUUUGCAUCACACACCCAGGUGAGGCAGAAGGCUGGAGAGGCUUGCAGUGGGAGGAAUUCCCUCACCUCAGUUGUGAUAAGGCUCUGGAAAAGUCCUUGCUCCUGAAAGGAUUGUGAAUGCGCCAGUCAGUGAGAUUUUCCUGGAGACUGCAGAAAGCAUGGAAAUUUAGUCCAAGGGACUUUCAAUUCCAGUCUUGCCUGCUGGCCCAAGGCAAUGAUACUUCUCUGUGGCUUAGUUUACUCACCUGUGAACCAGAGACACAAAGCCUCUCAUGGACUGUUCUUACUGCCUUCCUUUGACAAAUGAUUCUCAGCCCAAGCCACCAGACAUUGGAAUCAAUCACGUGAGACAUUUUUUUAAAUUCAUUUUUGGCUGCCCCAUGCCAGGGACUAGAUCUGAGCCACACUUGUGACCUACGCCACAGCUGCAGCAAUGUGGGAUCCUUCAACCGCUGUGACGGGCAUGGGCAGGGAUUCAACCUGCGUCCUGGUGCAGCAGAGAUGCUGCUGAUCCCAUUAUGCCACAGCAGGAACCCACAAGAAGCUCUUUAAAAAGACCUUGGACAGGGUCCCA